CCAGACUCCUACGGGAGGCAGCAGUGAGGAAUAUUGGUCAAUGGCCGAGAGGCUGAACCAGCCAAGUCGCGUGAGGGAAGACGGCCCUACGGGUUGUAAACCUCUUUUGUCGGGGAGCAAAGCGAACCACGUGUGGUUCAUUGAGAGUACCCGAAGAAAAAGCAUCGGCUAACUCCGUGCCAGCAGCCGCGGUAAUACGGAGGAUGCGAGCGUUAUCCGGAUUUAUUGGGUUUAAAGGGUGCGCAGGCGGAGGUGCAAGUCAGCGGUCAAAUUGCGGGGCUCAACGCCGUAGAGCCGUUGAAACUGGGGCUCUUGAGUGAGCGAGAAGUACGCGGAAUGCGUGGUGUAGCGGUGAAAUGCAUAGAUAUCACGCAGAACUCCGAUUGCGAAGGCAGCGUACCGGCGCCCAACUGACGCUGAAGCACGAAGGCGUGGGUAUCGAACAGGAUUAGAUACCCGAGUA
RNAcentral lists this ribosomal RNA (463 nucleotides) under uncultured bacterium. RNAcentral describes it as "bacterial SSU rRNA". It matches the Rfam family "Bacterial small subunit ribosomal RNA", at positions 331 to 792 of the family's 1533-position model. The record is from RNAcentral.